This 68-nucleotide transfer RNA is filed under the name Rachovia maculipinnis. RNAcentral describes it as "tRNA-Val". The record is from RNAcentral. Lineage: Eukaryota; Metazoa; Chordata; Actinopteri; Cyprinodontiformes; Rivulidae.
CAGCACAUAGCUAAAAAAUAGCACUUCGUUUACAACGAAAAGUUUCUUGAUAGACCAAGAUGGACUGA